GGGUGCUUGAGGCUUUUUGCUUUGAGCAGUCGUGAUAGGCAGAAAGACGAAAGCCCCGAGUAAUUUUCUUAAUUAACCCGAGGCUCCAAUAUGUCCACAGAACAUAAGGAUAGCCUCUUAACUGCAGAAAUGCAAUCGGAGGUCAGAAUG
Molecule: antisense RNA, 150 nt
Filed under: Candidatus Regiella insecticola LSR1
Lineage: Bacteria; Pseudomonadati; Pseudomonadota; Gammaproteobacteria; Enterobacterales; Enterobacteriaceae
Description: sok antitoxin (CssrC)
Rfam family: sok antitoxin (CssrC)
About the family: Also identified in Shigella as CssrC.
Source: Rfam by way of RNAcentral